AUAGCAUAUAUUCCAAUCAUCUGUAAGCUGGUAAUUGUGGGCAUUUGGCUUUCCUUUGGUCCGCCAAGAAUAACCAACUCCUAAAGAUAUCCCAUUUUUAAACCCACCUUCCUCUUCCUCUCUCAUUUUCCCCUCUGCGUUUUCGUUUCCCUUUCUUCUUCUUCUUCUUCUUCUUCUUCCCUCCCUGCACAACCAAAUGUAGUGGAGUCUUUCCUCCUUUUUUCUUCAGAGGCCUUUCUUCUUCUGGUUUAGAGGGUCCCAUACUGGAUUUCAUACUUGUAAUUUGGGACACCCAGGAAGCCUAAACCAUGUUGGUGGAAGAGACCAUAGAAGAAACGAAAGGAAACCCAGAAAUGGAAUCACCAACGGGUCUGAGGAAGAUGGAGCCGUGCGAGGACGAGCCAUCAC
Non-coding RNA from Prunus avium (sweet cherry), 408 nucleotides. Lineage: Eukaryota; Viridiplantae; Streptophyta; Magnoliopsida; Rosales; Rosaceae. The record is from RefSeq and is a predicted model, not a curated record.